GUCCCGGAAAGCGAGGAGGCGGCCGCCGCGAAGGCGCGGAAAGGAGGGCCAGUUUAGUGAAAACCAGAGGCUGGGUAGAAGAGCUUGGGCUCGGGCUCUUCGGUGCAGAGAAAGCAGGAAACACCGCAGUUACCUGUUCAUGUGGGUGCGGUGGUUGAAGCAUCUGCAAAGGGGGGAAUGGCACCUCUUCUUCGUUCGUGGAGGAGGAUUUUGAGAGAGAGGGAGAGAACCCUGCCCGUCCGCUCCUGAGAAGCGUGAACUUCCCGCCUGAGGACUAGAAAGACGAAGUAGUUUGAAAAUGGAGAACCAAGAACCAGCGGAUCCUCCUCAAAAUACCAAACAGUCUAUUAUUUCAGAGGAGUUAAUUUCAGAAGGAAAAUGGGUCAAGCUUGAAAAAACAACAUACAUGGAUCCUACUGGUAAAAUAAGAACUUGGGAAACUGUGAAACGUACAACCAGGAAAGGACAGUCGGCUGAUGGUGUGGCGGUCAUCCCAGUGCUGCAGCGCACACUUCACUACGAGUGCAUUGUUCUGGUGAAGCAGUUCCGACCGCCGAUGGGAGGCUAUUGCCUAGAGUUCCCCGCAGGUCUCAUCGAUGAUAACGAGAGCCCAGAGGCAGCCGCUCUUCGGGAGCUUGAGGAAGAAACGGGCUAUAAAGGUGAUGUUGCAGAAUGUUCUCCAGCCGUGUGUAUGGAUCCAGGUUUGACAAACUGUACCACACACAUCGUGACAGUAACUAUUAAUGGAGAUGAUGCUGAAAACGUGAGACCUAAGCCAAAGCCAGGAGAUGGAGGUAUGUUACCCAGCUGGCAGUGGCUGACCGUGUGUAUGGCUUAGCGCAGUGGAAAUGGCUGCAGGCAUUUUGUGGUGUUCUGGUAGGCCCUCUUAUUCUUCAGCUUUGUUUUCACAUGCACUUUGUUUGUUUAGAAUUUGUCGAAGUUAUUUCCUUACCAAAGAAUGACCUGCUCAAGAGACUGGAUGCUCUGGUAGCGGAAGAACAUCUGACCGUGGACGCCAGGGUGUACUCCUACGCUCUGGCACUGAAACAUGCAAACACAAAACCGUUUGAAGUGCCUUUCCUGAAGUUUUAAGGCCAAAGGACAGUAGCCAUGUUUUUAUAAAUAAGACCAUCAGGCCUCCUUCACUAAGACUUUGUAUUCAGCUUAGCUUCCUGUAGACUUGAAAUUAGCUUUUUUCAUUAAAUAAAAGCAAUACGGAAUACA
RNA transcript from Mustela lutreola (European mink), 1224 nucleotides. It is a transcript of the gene named nudix hydrolase 5, with no coding region annotated. The transcript is spliced from 9 exons. The record is from RefSeq and is a predicted model, not a curated record. NCBI's taxonomy places the organism in Eukaryota, Metazoa, Chordata, Mammalia, Carnivora, Mustelidae.